RNAcentral lists this small RNA (552 nucleotides) under Rattus norvegicus (Norway rat). Its description in RNAcentral is "uncharacterized LOC102547495". Lineage: Eukaryota; Metazoa; Chordata; Mammalia; Rodentia; Muridae. The record is from RNAcentral.
CCAUGGUUGAUGGUGGUCAGACCUCUACCAGGAGUACUGGGACAAGAGGCCUGGGAAGCUGAUGGACAGAAUAUUUACCACCCUGCAAGGAGAAGGCCAUCCACUACUCCACUGCUCUGGCCAGCAAGAACAUCUUGUCCUUUGUUUGCUGUGACCAACUCAACCCCCUGCUGCUGGAGCCUGGCCUGGCAUCUAUCCUAGGCAGAAGGCCAGGCUUUCCCAAAUCCAGCAAGCACAUCGUGAGCAGCCUUGGGAUUCAGAAGGCUGGAGUGGCAGACAUCUGGCCCAGCUGGGCACAGACCCCCAAGGCGUUGUUCACCAGGGCUCAGUUCCAACCAUUACUGUGAUGUCACACACCGUCAAGGAUCCAGCCCAUCUGUCAGCGGAGCCUCGAAGUUUCUUCUGGAUCCUGCUGCCGCAGCUGAUUGGUGUGUGGUGUCUGCCUAAAGGGCUGGUCUGCAGCUGCUGAUUCGUGGUUGGUGUUUGCCAGUGGACUGCCGAUAUCCAGGCAACGAAGAUUGGAAUCUCCCCAGAGAACUAUUUCUUUUUUUU